UACGAAGGGGGCUAGCGUUGCUCGGAAUCACUGGGCGUAAAGGGUGCGUAGGCGGGUCUUUAAGUCGGGGGUGAAAUCCUGGAGCUCAACUCCAGAACUGCCUUCGAUACUGGAGAGCUUGAGUCCGGGAGAGGUGAGUGGAACUGCGAGUGUAGAGGUGAAAUUCGUAGAUAUUCGCAAGAACACCAGUGGCGAAGGCGGCUCACUGGCCCGGUACUGACGCUGAGGUGCGAAAGCGUGGGGAGCAAACAGG
This 253-nucleotide ribosomal RNA is filed under the name uncultured bacterium. RNAcentral describes it as "partial 16S ribosomal RNA". It matches the Rfam family "Bacterial small subunit ribosomal RNA", at positions 524 to 776 of the family's 1533-position model. The record is from RNAcentral.